UGGCUCAGUGGUUAAAGCAUCUGCCUGCAAUGCAGGAGACCUGGGUUCAAUCCCUG
Ovis aries (sheep) is the source of this 56-nucleotide non-coding RNA. The record is from Rfam. NCBI's taxonomy places the organism in Eukaryota, Metazoa, Chordata, Mammalia, Artiodactyla, Bovidae.